AAAGACGCUUCCACGCGAGAGUUCCGGUCUUCUUCUACUCUCGGGGCCAGAGGAAAGUAGCUUCGAGAUCAUGCAGCUUGUAGUUGUUCAGCUGCAUUUAUAUGCGAAUAUGAAUUCUGCUGCAACUAAACCGCCUUGAAAAGGCAGCUUUGGAAGAUGUGGAGUGACUCACCUUCCUCACAAAUGACAGAAGUUUUGAAAGAAUUGUGGACUGUCGUGCCACUUGACCCGGAUGGCCACAAGGAGGAAGCACAGUGAAAAGAUGAAGCAGUGCUAAAGUAUGACUGUACAUGGGCCCUGAAGACAACACAAACGGAUGGCGUCAGUGGAAAGCAAACGCAACACCGGCUCAGGAUUAUUCCAUAAGUCUAAUGCCGGAGGAUAAUAUUAAAUGCAGGAUUUUAGUAUGAAAAUUGAGUCACGUUUGAUCAGAAGCAUGUUUAUUAAACUGUAUGUAUAAAAUUCAAGCAUUUACACAAGAGGUAACGGGAGUCCUGCUGGGAGGGCUCAGUCUGUGUUGAACGGUGACCUGUAAGAUUUCUUCUUCAGAUUAUCUAGGAAAAUCUGCUCCUCUUGGAGGUAUUCACGGUCCUGUAGGCAGGAAAACACCCAGUUAUUUAACAUAAUUUGUCCUAGGGAAAAAAACCUAUCAAACGUUUGCAGUUACUGUAGCUGUAAGUGUGGCGUUGAAGAAAAUGACACAUCCUUUUGCUACCCCCCUACCUCUAAUGUCACUCUUUAUUCCAUUACCUUUGUCGUGGAUGACUCGCUUACCAUUUGUUGUCUCCCAGUCACCAUUUGUCAUUAAUUAGCAACCUUAUGCAAACUGACCACUCUCCUUGUCUGUAUGUACAUACUGUCCCCUCCCAACUGUACAAACUGUUUUACUCUGUAAAUGUUCUGGGUCGGCUUACUUUCAGACUUACGCCCACCAUAUAGCGGAAUAGUAAUGAACACCCCACAACAAAAACUUUGCAUGAGGACUUUGGGUAAAUUUCUUCAACUGUGAAUAUAUUGAAAGGUUGAUGUGUAACUGUGGGCUGUAACCAGUUUCAAUUUCAUGUGUUCAAUAAAAGCCUGUACAAGAAAGUA
Long non-coding RNA from Amphiprion ocellaris (clown anemonefish), 1092 nucleotides. RefSeq lists it as uncharacterized. NCBI's taxonomy places the organism in Eukaryota, Metazoa, Chordata, Actinopteri, Pomacentridae. The record is from RefSeq and is a predicted model, not a curated record. The transcript is spliced from 5 exons.